GAAAAAAAAGGGGGAGACGGAAAAGGAGUGUAUAAGAUAGAUUAGUUAGAAGUAUAAAAAAAAGUGGAGAACAAAAUAAAAUCAGGGAGAGAUUGUUUUACUCGAAGAAAUAUUUUAAUUGGAUUGAGUAUUGUAGAUCACAAUCAAAGCUCGAUUAGAUUAUCCGACAUAAUCAGAUUUUUUCAAAGCAUAUGAUUAAAGAGUAUCUGUGACAGUCUUGUCCUGGAUCUGAAAAAAAAAAUAUAGAGGGACCUUCGAGUCAUAGAGGGACCUAUGAGUCCAAUUACAGAGGGACCUUCGGGUCAUAGAGGGACCAAUGAGUCCAAUUACAUUCGGGUCAAAUACAGAGGGACCAAUGAGUCCAAUUACAGAGGGACCUUCGGGUCAUAGAGGAAUCCCGGGCAGAUUUCAGGCUUGAUUUGUCACAGAAUAAUAAAUUCAAUAGAGAGGCAUAUGCAUCGAGAUAUGAAAUUGUUGAUUGAGAUAUGGAAUUGUUGAUUGGUGAUAUUUAAUGUUUAUGGUUAUAUGGAUUGAAUUAGAAAUUUUUGUAAUUAUAGUAUGUGGAUGGUGAUGCAAUUAAUAUAUGCAUAUGGAUAUGAAAUUGUGUAUGAUUAUAUGGUUA
Molecule: long non-coding RNA, 622 nt
Organism: Salvia hispanica
Lineage: Eukaryota; Viridiplantae; Streptophyta; Magnoliopsida; Lamiales; Lamiaceae
Source: RefSeq, a predicted model, not a curated record